UUCGGGGCCUCGCGCACCCUGCACAAGGGCUUGAGCCCCGCAGAGCUCCCUGGGCCUAAAGCUUUGCGUCCCCCUGCACGGGCGCGCCGCACACUACGGCCCGGUCUUCCUACCCUGCUGCGCCGUCGGCUGGGGGGCGCCGGGUAAUGAAGAUCGAGGCCUAAGCGACCUCGGUGGUGAGCACAAGGAGGCAGGCCCGGGCUGUGCUCGCUCACGUCCGUGUCCUGCGGCCCUCCCGGAUGGCGUUGCUCGUUGCGGGGAAAGUCAGCGCCGCUAGGACCCGGCGCUAUCCCCGGGCGCGUACUUCAAAUAACAGGCAGAGGAGUCUUCUGCUGCCCGAAUUGCUCUUUUCUGUGUCUGAGGGAAUGAAGGUGAGGCGAGCCAGACUCUCCGGGCUCUCCAUCCAGGAGAGGGAAGAGACCCCGUCCCCACCCUGCAUUCUAGACUAACGCUGUGUCUGCUUGAUCAUUGUGGGCACCCGGUCAGAGAUGAACUUGUAGGCGGGUUUCCUACACUUGGUGACCUCCAACGUGCCUCUAUCCCUGUGGGUUCACCUAUGCUGGAUGUUUCAGAGGCAGAGCUCUGAGCAAGGCCUGGAAAGCAGAAUGCUGGUUGAGAAAUGUGAGAAAGAACUGUCCGUGCCGAACUGCCACAGUCACUGUCACGCUGAAGAGGGAGGCUGGGUGGCCUCGUCCUGGGCCUGUGCUUUGCUUCUUUGACCUGUGCCCGUUAUUUUGCAUAAGUACACACAGCGUAAUGGGCAGCAAAGAGGCCGUAAAGUGAUGGCGCUCACAUCUGGAACGCCUUCAUUUCAGAGAUCUUCGAGGAAUGAAUCGACGCUACCUUAUUUUUUGGCUGUGGUGAAACUGAUGCUAAUAUCUCACUUGAAUGAAUUGCAUGAACAUCUAUUAGAAUAAUCUUAUCCAGACAUCAUCUAAGAACAGAAAGCAACUGAUGAACACCUGCAACUACUGACGUGCUCCUGAGAGGAUGAAACUACUCCAGUUGGAGAGAAAGACCUUUGGAGUCCUGGACGGAUCUCUAGACAGGAACAUUUGACUCACAAUGAUAACCAAAUUUUUAAAAUCAUAGUUUUUAAUAAAAUGAGAAAUUCUGAAAUUUACAGUUGCCACCCGGAGGCGUGACUGCCUGCCUCACUGUGGUCUCCCCUCACUCCCUCUCCAAGCCCAACGGCACCAGGUGGUUGAAUCUGUAGAUUCCGAGGGUCGUUUAACCCACAGAAGAGGUUGUCUGGAGUGACCAUCCUGGCUUUUCCCCUGGAAACUCCGACUGGCGUUGAUCUUCCUGACACUCAAAGAGCAACACGUGGUCCAAGGAACACAUGGUCAAGUACUGAGCAGCAUUUCCAACAUUUACUUUCAGGCAAAUAGUCACUUAUAUACUUCUUUCUUUUCGCAAAGCCAUAGAAUAUUAUAAAACCAACAAUAAAAAACUUUAAGUUGCUUUAAAGAAAUGA
Molecule: long non-coding RNA, 1477 nt
Organism: Chinchilla lanigera (long-tailed chinchilla)
Lineage: Eukaryota; Metazoa; Chordata; Mammalia; Rodentia; Chinchillidae
Exons: 4
Source: RefSeq, a predicted model, not a curated record